Molecule: ribosomal RNA, 1560 nt
Filed under: Triticum aestivum (bread wheat)
Lineage: Eukaryota; Viridiplantae; Streptophyta; Magnoliopsida; Poales; Poaceae
Description: partial small subunit ribosomal RNA
Source: RNAcentral
AUGGCGCGGCAGCACGGCUCCGUCAAGCCCAAUGAGGCAUCCAUCCCCGAGGGCAGCGAGCCGAACCUGGGCGGAGCCGCCGCGGCCAGGGGGCAUACCGGCGAGGGGCUGCGUCCACCUUGCCGUCGAGUGCCUCCUCCCCUCCGGCCGCCCCGAUUCCCUCUUCAUCCUCCAGCUCCAGCCCAACCCCGACACCCCGGACGUCAAGCGGGCCUUUCGUCACCUCGCCAACCUCCUGGCCCCUCGGCGCGAUCCCCAUCCCCGGCUGACACCGCCCUUCGCGCCGUUGAAGAGGCCUUCGCCCACCUCUUCGAGAGCGCCUCCACCAGCGCCGGUUUCGCUCCUGCUGCUCCCGGCGGCGUCUCCGUCCUAGAGAUGUGCUCUGGACGCGUUCGGGUCGAUUCAGAGCAGGCGGCAACGGCGCCGUUCAAGCCGAGUGCUCAAACAAGGUACCUGCGAGACGAGAUGGGAACGUUCGAGGAGCGCGUGAUGAAGGAGUUCGAGGCGCUGCGGCUCCUGCAGGCCAAGGUGGAUGGGAUCGAGGCGAUCCAGGCCAAGCUUGAUGGAUUGGAUACGAAAUUCGAGGAACAAGUGCAGCGCCUAGAUCAAGUGCAGAGCAAGGUGGAUCUGUCGGAAUUUGAUGUGAAUGUGCAUAGGAACUGCAUGAGAGAGCUGCUUGUAUUGAAACAGGAAGGUACUGUGCAACAAUACAGAUCUGCGUUCCAUCAGCUGGUGUACCAGGUCCGGAUGUAUGAGGGAGGAGUGAGUGAAACAAUGUUGGUCACUCAAUUCAUGUUGGGUCUUAAAGAAGAAAUCAGAGCUGCAGUGGAAAUUCAGUUACCAGCCACUGUUACUAUUGCAGUGGAGUAUGCUUUGGUGCAAGAAGCACUGUUAGAAAGAGCUAAACAGCAAGCCACUAAAACUAGCAAAUUCAGUUUUCACAAGGGAAGUACGACCAAAGGAGAUUAUAUUGGAAAAUCCCAGCUCUCCGCAGGAGAUAUGUGGAAAGCAAGCCAGCUUAAGGACUACAGGAGACAGAAUGUAUACUUGGAGUCCACAUCCAAGAUCAAAGCAUCUAGCUCUGUUCACUCAGGCAGGCUGGGUGGGCUCCUCGUCGGCGUCGGCUUUCCUGCCUGCCACUGCUUUCUGAUGGAGCGGACCUUUGGAUGCUCCUGUGCCUCUGGUGGCUGGAACUGCUCUGUUGGAUCCUUACCUUUCUUUUGCAGCGACACUGAAUGGUUUGGCUGGUCCACAACACAGUCUCAGGGAUGGAUGGUCAAGUUGUAUAUGGCUUCCACCAUGUACGAGAUGAAAAGCCAUAUCUUGCUCAAGGACCAGUUGCAAAUAAGGGUAGUUAAAGAGUGGAUGCCCAACUGCUCUGAUGUAGGCCGCUCCGAAUCAAUUAUCCGAUAUAUGGCAUCUCUUGAAGGCUACAACCUGGAGUCUCAUGGGGGUGUGAAGAUGAUACCCAAGGUGUGUGAGAACAUCUCCAUUGUCCUCUGCAGUAACAAGGUUUCUGUGAAGAACUGGCAGGUUAAAGCCAAGAGCAACUACAACUAG